GGAGAUACAGCUCAAGUGGUAGAGCGUGUGCUUAGCAUACGCAAGGUCCUGGGUUCAAUCCCCAGUACCUCCU
Camelus ferus (Wild Bactrian camel) is the source of this 73-nucleotide transfer RNA. It matches the Rfam family "tRNA". Rfam says of the family: Transfer RNA (tRNA) molecules are approximately 80 nucleotides in length. Their secondary structure includes four short double-helical elements and three loops (D, anti-codon, and T loops). Further hydrogen bonds mediate the characteristic L-shaped molecular structure. tRNAs have two regions of fundamental functional importance: the anti-codon, which is responsible for specific mRNA codon recognition, and the 3' end, to which the tRNAs corresponding amino acid is attached (by aminoacyl-tRNA synthetases). tRNAs cope with the degeneracy of the genetic code in two manners: having more than one tRNA (with a specific anti-codon) for a particular amino acid; and 'wobble' base-pairing, i.e. permitting non-standard base-pairing at the 3rd anti-codon position. The record is from Rfam. NCBI's taxonomy places the organism in Eukaryota, Metazoa, Chordata, Mammalia, Artiodactyla, Camelidae.